This 881-nucleotide unclassified non-coding RNA is filed under the name Hevea brasiliensis (rubber tree). Lineage: Eukaryota; Viridiplantae; Streptophyta; Magnoliopsida; Malpighiales; Euphorbiaceae. The record is from RNAcentral.
GGGGGGGUUUGCAAUUUGUAACAGAAAUUGAACUGGCUACAAAAUUACAACAAAUUAAUUCUUUUAGUAUAAAAAGUUCAUCAUGGUUACAGUAUUCCAGUCAAUUGAAUGUCAGAAAUUUAGACACUAGGCAGAGACAAAAUUACUAUUAAUAAAAGAAUAUAAUUCAAAAUAAAAUGACAUGCAGAAAUUCUGCAAUGAAAAUUUUCAGACAGAUUGAAAUAUGUUACGAAACAACUUGUACUGCACUCCUCAAAACCUUCUCAAGUUCAAAUCCACAGUCUUAAUACAUUUUUCUGAAGAUAAAUUUGAAUAAGAUGCCCUCCUACUUAUUAAAGGGCACACUUUCUUAAUUUUGAAAAUUUUAUCUUUGUCCUAACUCAAACAUCAACUUCUGUAAUGGGAAACUGGAUUCAUAAAUAAUUAAAGGUACAACUUAACUAUUGGAAUUAGCACAAAGAACCACUUUAUGCUAAUGUCCAUUUCCCAACUUGAUUUGCAUUCAAUAUUCGUUCUGAAGCUGAUGGAGCAAUUCUCACAGUUAAUAAGGGUCUACUAAACAUCUUAUUAGGAUUGCCUAUGAUACUUCAAUAAAAAAUUAUACAGGUUACUCUUUGCUCACUCAUCAGCGUAUUCAACAGUCACACAAGAUAGUAUAUCAAUUAUCAAGCAAUCAAGUAAGUCACAGGCUCACAGCACGUUUGCUUUCCCAGCUAAAACAAAGUAUGCCUUGACUCAUGACAUGCGAAUGCAAUCUCCAGAAAGUAAAACAAAGAUAAUAUAAAGAAAUACAAAGGUUGAUUACCUCAACAAUUCUCCCUUUGGGAAGGCCGCCACCUAAAGCAAAAUCCAGUGUCAAACAGCCACUGGGGAAAGUCUCA